Molecule: long non-coding RNA, 1172 nt
Filed under: Pan troglodytes (chimpanzee)
Lineage: Eukaryota; Metazoa; Chordata; Mammalia; Primates; Hominidae
Description: lncRNA (ENSPTRG00000053135.1)
Source: RNAcentral
UAAACAUGUAAUCAUCAUUCAAGCCACUAUCUAAUACAGCAUGUUGGGAUGGAAGGAUUUUGUUUCACUCAGGCAUUCCCAGUUCCACCUUCCUUUCAUUUUGUGGAUUAGUCCUCCUGUAGGCCUUGCACAGGUGAAGAUCCUGGCUGUAUCUACUUAAGUCGACAGGCAACGGGGAGCUUUCGAAUAUUUGUGUGCAGAAGGCUGGAGGUCACAGAUGUAUGAUAUACUUAGUAAGUGCUGGGAGAAGAAAGAAAGGAGAUCUAUCAGAAAGGAGCGAACAAGGGAAGGAGGAAACAGAUCUACUCCACUACGCUAGCACGCAGAGGAGGAUGGAGAACGCAUCCAGGGAUUUAUUGCCCAAAAUGAUGCUCAAGACCCCUCACAUCAGCAGAAGAACAAAACGGUGGUACAGACUGGACAUAAUUGUCAAGAGGAAGAAAGAAGAGAAGGAAUAGAAUCAAACCAGAGAGCUCUUCUGUCUCAGACUCUAUCCUCAUAUCUCCCACCAGAGGCGUUUGACCAUUCCUGAAGACAGAGUGCUCAGAACAAGACAACGUUCGCAGCAGGGCUGGUCUGUGCGUCUUCCUGGAUCACAUCCAGGGGCUUCAUUCCUAAGGACUUUUUAAAUGUGUCCUCAUUUACAAAGUUUCUUCUUGGUCCCAGGAAAAACUCAGAGAUACGGUCUCUGAGUUUCAAAGACAAAAAACAAAAAUUCUCUCUUUGCUUUGUUUUAGUUUGCCACAGUCACCAUGGUUUGCUGAUAAUUGAGGCUAUAGAAAAUCUAAGUACUUGGAACCCCAGCAACAUUUAUAAACAUUUUGAAUUGUUAUAGUUUAUAGCCUUUUUCCCUUGCAGUCAUGUUCUGAAAAAAGGGAAAAAAAAGGACAUUAGUUGAACCUGUUCUCUGAAACUGCAUGUGUGACUUGUUUUUAAUUAUGGUUGAAUAUAUUGGGGAAAAAAUGACUUCCUGUUUACUUCAGGAAGACUAAACUGAUAUCAGGUAAACAACUGUAACUAAUGCUGACAACAUAGACAAAGGAAGACAGAACUUUUGCUGUAACUCUAAGAGCAUCCCAAGAGGGGUUAACAUGGAGACUGUUGCCUUGGGCCUUGUAACUUAUGCCAUAUACAAAACGCUGGGGAGCAGAGCUCAAGAGAGCAGGCAAGAC